Molecule: long non-coding RNA, 703 nt
Filed under: Ananas comosus (pineapple)
Lineage: Eukaryota; Viridiplantae; Streptophyta; Magnoliopsida; Poales; Bromeliaceae
Description: long non-coding RNA (ACOM_LNC043688)
Source: RNAcentral
CCAAAUCUAGAAAUCCUUUUAUUACAUUCAUGAAAAUCCAUAUUUUCAAAUGUAAAUAAAUACUGAACCAUACAAGCUAUCUAUGCUAUAACAACAGAAUAAUAAGGGUAGAAACUAAACCGAACAACCUGGGUCGGAAGAUCUAUCGACCGCUACGUACGUAUCUCGCGUCUCGUCCCAAUACACACCGCCUGCGAUACCUGAAAAAUGGUGGGGGAGGUGAGAACAUGUAAACAUGUCUCCCCUCCCAGUGGGUACCGCAAGCCGAAGAAGGCGAGGAGUACUCACCGGAUCAGGAAGAGCUAUACAGCAACACGGGUCAGUGGAAAUACAGUAGGAACAAUAGUAAGCGAAAGAGAUGUAUAAAGUAAUAAGCAGAUAUACUAAAUACAGUAGUAAUAAACUGACAGAAAGUAAGAACUAGACUGAACAACGGCUACCGCUACUGUAACUGGAACCGAAAGCAUACAUGAAUAUCUACUAUAGUAGCAUGACAACUAUAAAGUAAGAACUGUAAAUAUGCAUGCACGACUGCUACUAUAGACAUAUGCGUCAACUGACGAUAAUCUCAAAAGUACCCAAUCUCGAUGCCUUAUUGGUCCGAAGACCUCAGGCCCAUGCCACACUGCUCAACCUGUUCCUGACCCUCGCAAUGAAGCCCCUGGGUCAGAAGCAUAGUACCUGACCCUCGCAAUGAAACCCC